Molecule: small nucleolar RNA, 105 nt
Organism: Lolium rigidum
Lineage: Eukaryota; Viridiplantae; Streptophyta; Magnoliopsida; Poales; Poaceae
Product: small nucleolar RNA Z118/Z121/Z120
Exons: 1
Source: RefSeq, a predicted model, not a curated record
UGUUUGCUGUGAUGAAUCACAAGGACGGCAUAUGAUGAAGGUGGAUAUAAAAAUGGAUCUACAUCGAUUAUGCAUCAUUAUCUGAUCAUAUACCCUAAGCGAACA